This 765-nucleotide ribosomal RNA is filed under the name uncultured bacterium. RNAcentral describes it as "bacterial SSU rRNA". It matches the Rfam family "Bacterial small subunit ribosomal RNA", at positions 625 to 1390 of the family's 1533-position model. The record is from RNAcentral.
CGUUGAAACUGGCGGUCUUGAAUACACACAAGGGAGAUGGAAUUCGUCGUGUAGCGGUGAAAUGCUUAGAUAUGACGAAGAACUCCGAUUGCGAAGGCAGUCUCCUGGGGUGCGAUUGACGCUGAGGCUCGAAAGUGCGGGUAUCAAACAGGAUUAGAUACCCUGGUAGUCCGCACAGUAAACGAUGAAUGCUGGUUCUUGGCGAUAUAUAGUCAGGAACUGAGGGAAACCAUUAAGCAUUCCACCUGGGGAGUACGCCGGCAACGGUGAAACUCAAAGGAAUUGACGGGGGCCCGCACAAGCGGAGGAACAUGUGGUUUAAUUCGAUGAUACGCGAGGAACCUUACCCGGGCUUGAAUUGCAGCUGCAUAGAGUAGAGAUACUCUUUCCCUUCGGGGCUGCUGUGAAGGUGCUGCAUGGUUGUCGUCAGCUCGUGCCGUGAGGUGUCGGCUUAAGUGCCAUAACGAGCGCAACCCUUGCUGUUAGUUGCUAUCAGGUAAUGCUGUGCACUCUAGCGGGACUGCCAUCGCAAGAUGUGAGGAAGGUGGGGAUGACGUCAAAUCAGCACGGCUCUUACGUCCGGGGCUACACACGUGUUACAAUGGGGGGGGUACAGAAAGUUGGUUAGUGGCGACACUGAUCUAAUCCUCAAAACCCCUCUCGGUUCGGACUGGAGUCUGCAACCCGACUCCACGAAGCUGGAUUCGCUAGUAAUCGCGCAUCAGCCAUGGGCGCGGUGAAUACGUUCCCGGGCCUUGUACACAC